CGACCCGCCAUGCCCUCCGCUUUCCACCUCCGGCGACCCGCCGCGCCCCUCGCCUCCCACCUCCUGCGACCCGCCGCGCCCCCCGCCUCCCACCUCCUGCGACCCGCCGCGCCCCCCGCCUCCCACCUCCUGUGACUCGCCGCGCCCCCUGGCCUCCACCUCCAGCGACCCACCACGCCCCCUUCUCCCACCUCCGGCGCCGGGCGACGCGCCCCAGCUCCCACCUCCGACGAGGCGCCACGGCCUCCCACCUUCGGCGAUGCGCCACGGCCCUGCCUCCCAUCUCCGGCGACGCGCCGCCCCUGAACCCCGUCUCCUCUCUCGCGCCGCCCCCACUCGCCCCAGAACGCGUCCGUUCCUCCCACGGAGCCAAGCUCGCGCACCGUCGUCCCUCCCACCGCGCCGAGCUCGCACUCCAUCGCCGCUGGUGCCCCCAUCCUCGCGCCGUCCGUGACCCCUCCACUACACUCCUCUGCUGCAAGAACACGUCAGUUCGUGUGGAGAAUAACAGUCCGUCAGUUCGAUAGUUCGUCAAUUCGCCGAUUGGAUCCGUAGCAGCAGCGCUCGCUCCCCAAUGGUUGCCGGCGCAAGGAGGAUACAGGGAGGCGACAGUGGUGGAGUCAGCAGCGUUCCAUGGCCUUUGUCCUCCUCGUCGCAUAUUUUCUUAUAAACAACAAGAAGAAAACAAGGCAUAGGCUUCAUGCUCUCCAUCUCCUGGUAAAGGGGAGUUAAGCUCUACGGCCACUUGGAUGUGGAUGCUCAUGCUCCUCCACUGGGCGAGCUUCCAGGGCACCACGGGGAUUGAUAUUGUCAUCUCUACCAGUCGGCCAUGAGGGCCAAGAGGUUGCCUGCACCCUGCUGAAUGAAAUGCCACUUCUGACCAGCACCUGGCCUAAUGCCGUACGUAGACCGCCGUGCUUUUUAAGAUUUCCUGUAUGCAUGUACAUGAAAAAUCUCAACAAUUCCGUUUCUUGUCUACAUGAUUUUGUGCUAGCUUAUCACAAGUUCAUGUUGCAUGCUCAAUGUAGUGGCUAGCUGAAGAAAAUUUAUUGUUCUGUAGCUUUGGUCUUACCAUUGUGGUACUUGUGUUAUUGCGUAGGAAAAUGAAAAGAAAGGAGUUUUUUUGCAAAUCAAUGAAUGAGAACAAAGUUUGCUGUUUCCCCACCCAAUUUAGAGCUCCAAAAAAGUUCAGAGUUCAGAGUAGUUGUUUGGAGAUGAACAAUAAAUAAGUAUAAGAAAAAUUUGUAAAAAAGUACGACAAAGUCCACUAUGUAUUUCACCAUCAGUACAUAAAGAAAUAUUAUAUAAAAUUCCCUGCUCACAGACUAUUUUUAUAGCCUACUGGUUAGUGUCAAAAUGUGUUGUUCUUGUUUCUUUACGGUUGCUUCUUUAUUAUAUGAAUAUGAAUGUGCUAGCUAGCUUAGCAAUACCAUUUGGAGUCAGUAGGUGUAGCUCAAACAAUUCUUGAGCCAUUUUGUCAUAACAAUAAGGCAGGACAUGCUUACAAGAUGAUGAAACCAUGUAUAUAUAACUUGAUGACUGUCUAAAUUGAGAAAAUCCUGAAAUAUGAUAUGUGCUCUCUUUGUAUCAGUUCUUAUGCUUGUGACAAUUCUGCAAUCAUACUGUGCUCGGUAACUAGAAAAAAAUACAUAAGUUCCAAAUAUACUUACCAUGUUUGUUCAGUGUUUUUUCAGUGGUUAUUGGUUCCCUCUUAAGCAGAUGAACUACAUUGUCACAUUAAACUGCAGGGACAAGUUCUCUCAGUCCUCUCUCGACAAAUCCAACAGUACAGGUUUUCCGGGGUGCCAAGUAUUGCCGGCGGCGAUGCCUGCAUCAUGGCCCAUUGAGGAGAUCAUGCCCGUUAGUUGUAGGUUUUUCCGUAUGCACAUUUAUUUGUUUAGCUUUAAAUUUUUGUUGUUUUCCACAUUCGAUAAUUGUGUUAAUGCUUCUAUGUUGUGCACUUCUGAUCCCAUUGUGAGGAAAAAGACAAGUGAGAUAAGUACUUAUUUGGAAAGUUUGUAAGUUCAAGCACAAAAACCUAGAAGUUCAUUGAAAAAGUUUGGUGUGGUCUUCUCCACCAUGAGCCCCAGUGUGGAUCACCUGCAGCGGCCAAAUUCCGGCACGCCCAGCCGCUGCUCGUGAACCCCACCUCCACCAGCUCGACUUCAGCGGAGCCGUCAGUCCGCAGGAGUAGGGGUUGCAGGUACUUGGUGGUGCAGACUUGGUAGCGGUGAUAUCUUGGUUCGAUUAUAUAUCAACAACAGUGCAAUGACUGAAAGAUCAUCAGUUCAAAAUAUAUAUGCAGGAGGAGGUUCAAAGAUUGUCGUGGAACAAGUUAAAGAGUUCAGUACACCUGCGUCAGUCAUCCAUCAUCUUCUGACAUCUAGUAUCGAAGUCUCUCCCCCCCUCGCCGCACACACAGACCGGGCGGUCGAGCACCUCCUCAAGUGAGAUGGGCGGCGAGGCCCUACCAUCUCCCGGUGAUGGCUUGCCGGCACACCCUGUAGAUUCACCUCUCACUCGCGCCACGGCCGCAGCUUCACUCCCGUGUGCCACCCUCGGCUGCCGCGCCAUGGACUGUUCUCAGCGGCUGCGGGUGGAGCAGCUGGGUCGAGGAACUUUGCCUUGAUAGUACAACAUCACACUCUGCUGUCGGUCAUGAGAAGAGCUGCGUGCAGGCCACCCCGUGUCCGCCCUCGAUCCAUCUCAGUCAUCUCCCUCUCAUCCUCUCUCUCUCUCUGGUCUGUGUUUCUGUGUGCAGGGAGUGGGAGGAGAUAGAGCAGGGGAGCGGGAGGCCCUUCCAUGGCAAAUUCGUUGGCAUCUUCCAUGGAGAUUGCGACCUCUCUUGAUUUUUGCUUGAGGAUUUCUCCUCUGGAUCUGUCCACUGUAGUUCUUGUAUAGCGGCGUCCUUUUUUCUAGUGUUCCUCAAUGUUGAUGCAUGUGUUUAAUAACCCACUCAUAUGAAUUCUAAAAACAAGCUUCAGUACAAGAAAAAUGGGUCGUUCAGUUCAAUUCUGAAUUAUAGGUGUGUGUAAACACAUCCUCCUUACACAGUAACUAACUAACUAUGAUACCAUGUUCAGACUUCUACAAAUCCCGAAACUAUGCAGAGUUAGGAUUGUUACUACCUUGUUUCUUACUAUUGAUUCAUUUUUAUACUAUAUUGAGAUGGUACAUGUAGUUGGACAUCUCAAUAUACUGGUGAUUGCUUCUUGCUGCCUCUAUUUUUAUCAUGAUUUGGUGUGUGCACUGCAGCAGUGUUUUUGUUCCUAGAUCAGUUGCUCAACGACAGAAUUGUGUAUCGCACAGUACAUGUAUUACUACUAUGAAGGUUCAGAAAUAAGAACUCAAAGAAGUAUUGACAGCAUAGCUACUGUAUAUUCAAGGAGUCGGGUUUUGCUCCUUCGUCAUCUCAUCUCCUCCGUUCAGCAAAAGCCUCGAGAUAAGUUCACACAUAUGGUUUUGUUCUUUCUAUAAUUCUUGAGUCCAAACUCCUUCGUUUUUUGUUCCUUUGAAAUUAAAUAAACCUGUAGAAGUUUGGGGUAUAAAAUUCUGUAAGUUCGAAUUCGGGAAACUAGAAAGUGCAGACAAAAUUAAAACUGUCAAAGAAUUAUUGUAGGCAAGUUUAGAAGUUUGGUUUCAUGAGAAAAAAGUAUGAUUUUCUAUCAGUAUUUUGUAUGAUUCAUUUGCCACAACUAAAAAUAAAAAAUUAGACAAAAAAUAAUUUUGUUUACUAUCGGUAAUGCUCUCUCCACCCUACUGUCUGUUUUGGUUGAUGAACAAGUACGGGCAAAAUAUGUUGUAUAGGGCAAGUUCUUGUAUUAGUGCCAGGCAAGUUCAAAAAAAUAAACCGCGGCAAGUUCAAAAUGAAAAUGUGGCAAAAACAAAAAGGGAGUUCGGAAGUAGGAAUUUGGAUGUAUCUGCCAUUUUUCUUUUUUGUGCUCAGGUUUACAUGAAAAUACACUUUUAGUUUCAGGAAUUGAAGAACUUUUUAGGAAGAAUUAGCCUUUUGAGCUACUGUUGAUGGCUAGCAUUUGUGCCCCGAAGUACGAGUUUGGAAGGCCAGUAAGUUCUACUCUGGCAUAAGCCAACGGAGCAUCGGUCGAAGAAGGCCGAGGCGCCUCGUGCCAGCUCCGGGCAUCUCCGGAGGCCCUACCUGUUCUUCCACCGCCCAUGUGCACUCACCGUCGAGCCUAUCCAUGCACAGCUCUAGUAUUGAUGAGCUUCAGGCUUGUCGUUGUUCAUGCAGAUUAAUUCUUUGUUAAUUGCUAUUGCACAUUUAGUAAAUGUAGCCUUUGUCUUCUCAGUGAAGUUUUAUUGUGAAGAUUUUUUAAUGCACACCGAAACCAGAUUGUCUGCUGCUACAUGCGCAUCAUAUGCGUAUUUUUCCAUCGAGAAACCUCAUCAUAUGUAAAUGUCUUCUAAGUCUAGAUUUUGAUGAUGCAAA
This is a long non-coding RNA of Triticum dicoccoides, 4447 nucleotides long. RefSeq lists it as uncharacterized. The record is from RefSeq and is a predicted model, not a curated record. NCBI's taxonomy places the organism in Eukaryota, Viridiplantae, Streptophyta, Magnoliopsida, Poales, Poaceae. The transcript has 5 exons.